GAUGAACGCUGGCGGCGUGCCUAAUACAUGCAAGUCGAGCGAACAGAUAAGGAGCUUGCUCCUUUGACGUUAGCGGCGGACGGGUGAGUAACACGUGGGUAACCUACCUAUAAGACUGGGAUAACUUCGGGAAACCGGAGCUAAUACCGGAUAACAUUUGGAACCGCAUGGUUCUAAAGUGAAAGAUGGUUUUGCUAUCACUUAUAGAUGGACCCGCGCCGUAUUAGCUAGUUGGUAAGGUAACGGCUUACCAAGGCGACGAUACGUAGCCGACCUGAGAGGGUGAUCGGCCACACUGGAACUGAGACACGGUCCAGACUCCUACGGGAGGCAGCAGUAGGGAAUCUUCCGCAAUGGGCGAAAGCCUGACGGAGCAACGCCGCGUGAGUGAUGAAGGGUUUCGGCUCGUAAAACUCUGUUAUUAGGGAAGAACAAACGUGUAAGUAACUGUGCACGUCUUGACGGUACCUAAUCAGAAAGCCACGGCUAACUACGU
Molecule: ribosomal RNA, 496 nt
Filed under: uncultured bacterium
Lineage: Bacteria
Description: partial 16S ribosomal RNA
Rfam family: Bacterial small subunit ribosomal RNA
Source: RNAcentral